Molecule: ribosomal RNA, 450 nt
Filed under: uncultured bacterium
Lineage: Bacteria
Description: partial 16S ribosomal RNA
Rfam family: Bacterial small subunit ribosomal RNA
Source: RNAcentral
GUGGGGAAUAUUGGACAAUGGGCGAAAGCCUGAUCCAGCCAUGCCGCGUGUGUGAAGAAGGUCUUCGGAUUGUAAAGCACUUUAAGUUGGGAGGAAGGGCAGUAAGUUAAUACCUUGCUGUUUUGACGUUACCGACAGAAUAAGCACCGGCUAACUUCGUGCCAGCAGCCGCGGUAAUACGAAGGGUGCAAGCGUUAAUCGGAAUUACUGGGCGUAAAGCGCGCGUAGGUGGUUUUGUAAGUUGGAGGUGAAAUCCCCGGGCUCAACCUGGGAACUGACUCCAAAACUGCAUGACUAGAGUACGGUAGAGGGUAGUGGAAUUUCCUGUGUAGCGGUGAAAUGCGUAGAUAUAGGAAGGAACACCAGUGGCGAAGGCGACUACCUGGACUGAUACUGACACUGAGGUGCGAAAGUGUGGGGAGCAAACAGGAUUAGAUACCCGAGUAGUCC